This 29-nucleotide small RNA is filed under the name Bombyx mori (domestic silkworm). RNAcentral's name for it is "ovarian small RNA-20471". The record is from RNAcentral. Lineage: Eukaryota; Metazoa; Arthropoda; Insecta; Lepidoptera; Bombycidae.
UACAUUCCUUUCGCUGAUCGAUAAUUUGC